UACCAGCUCUCCGAGUGGUAGGGAUGUUUAUUGGGCUUAAAGCGUCCGUAGCCGGCUCAGCAAGUCUCCUGUUAAAUUCAGCGACCUAAUCGUUGAGCCGCGGGAGAUACUACUAGGCUAGGAGGCGGGAGAGGUCAACGGUACUUCCGGGGUAGGGGUGAAAUCCUAUAAUCCCGGGAGGACCACCAGUGGCGAAGGCUGUUGACUAGAACGCGCUCGACGGUGAGGGACGAAAGCUGGGGGAGCGAACCGGAUUAGAUACCCGGGUAGUCCCAGCUGUAAACGAUGCGAGCUAGGUGUUGGGGUGGCUACGUGCCACUUCAGUGCCGCAGGGAAGCCAUUAAGCUCGCCGCCUGGGGAGUACGGCCGCAAGGCUGAAACUUAAAGGAAUUGGCGGGGAGCACCACAAGGCGUGAAGCUAGCGGUUC
RNAcentral lists this ribosomal RNA (428 nucleotides) under uncultured archaeon. RNAcentral's name for it is "bacterial SSU rRNA". It matches the Rfam family "Archaeal small subunit ribosomal RNA", at positions 474 to 903 of the family's 1478-position model. The record is from RNAcentral.